Molecule: ribosomal RNA, 440 nt
Filed under: uncultured bacterium
Lineage: Bacteria
Description: partial 16S ribosomal RNA
Rfam family: Bacterial small subunit ribosomal RNA
Source: RNAcentral
CCUACGGGUGGCAGCAGUGGGGGAUAUUGCACAAUGGGGGGAACCCUGAUGCAGCGACGCCGCGUGGGUGAAGAAGCGCCUCGGCGCGUAAAGCUCUGUCAGCAGGGAAGAAAAUGACGGUACCUGACUAAGAAGCCCCGGCUAACUACGUGCCAGCAGCCGCGGUAAUACGUAGGGGGCAAGCGUUAUCCGGAUUUACUGGGUGUAAAGGGGGCGCAGGCGGCGGUGCAAGUCAGGAGUGAAAGCCCGGGGCGUAACCCUGGGACUGCUUUUGGAACUGGGUGGCUGGAGUGCAGGAGGGGCAGGCGGAAUUCCUGGUGUAGCGGUGAAAUGCGUAGAUAUCAGGAGGAACACCGGUGGCGAAGGCGGCCUGCUGGACUGCAACUGACGUUGAGGCCCGAAAGCGUGGGGAGCAAACAGGAUUAGAUACCCCAGUAGUC